AAAAAAUCACAGCCCUCUUCUUCCAAUGCAAUUCGCGAAGCCAGAGAGAGGGAGAGAGAUGGAGACGGUGGAUGGAACAGAGGGCUCAGGCAGGGGAAGAUAUGCGCUGAAGCCGAUGAGGAUCAACUGCGAGGACAUAUUGUUUUGCAUAGAUGUGGAUGCAGAGUCUCUUGUGGAAAUGAAAACCGCAGGCCCCUCUGGGAGACCUCUCACCAGAUUGGAGUGCAUCAAGCAAGCUAUUCUUUUCUUCAUCAACGCCAAGCUCUCUAUCAACCCCGAUCAUCGCUUCGCUUUCGCCACUCUAGCAAAAUCCGCCUCUUGGGUACUGGUUAUCUCUCUCAAUUACCUGUGCUUUGUUUGAUGAUUUGUUUUUUGUGAGAUUGAAUGAAAUGCGUGAGAUAUUUCAUUCUUGCUAAGGAUAUUUUUCUGCACUUAUUUUUUAGCGGAUAGAUGCUCCAGGUUGAUCACGUAUUCAAGAUAUCUGGAUGAAAAUUCACGAUUUCUCUCUGCUUCUUAUUAUAAGAAAAAUUUAUUCUAUUACAGUCAUGGAUAAUUAAUCAAUUGAUGUGGCUAACUUGCCACUAAUCUAGUUUGGGCUUGAAGGGGAAAAGUGCACUAAUGUUUUAGCAUGUUUCUGAUGCUUUAAAAAUUUAAAUUCGCAUUAGAUGUGAAAUUCUCCUGAAUUGUGAACAACAAGUUGAAUGGGCAUUCCCGGAACAAGGGAAUUUGUUUAUUUAGCUGAAGUACAGACCUUAUAAUUUACAAGAAAGUUCCUGUGUUGCUUGUUUGAUAUAUCAUAGCUUCGAAAAGAGUUUAGCAGUGAAGUUGAGUCUACAGUAGCUGCUCUUAGGGGGCUCUCAGCUACUUCAUCUUGUGGUCAAGCAGACCUCACACAUUUAUUUCGCUUAGCAGCUCAUGAAGCAAAGAAAUCACGUGCUCAAAACCGGAUUUUAAGAGUGAUUCUCGUCUACUGCAGAUCAUCUGUUCGACCGCACCACCAGUGGCCCAUAAACCAGAAACUCUUCACUUUGGAUGUGAUGUACCUCCAUGAUAAGCCUGGACCUGACAACUGCCCACAGGCGGUCUAUGAUGCACUAGUUGACACCCUUGAACAUGUUAGUGAGUAUGAGGGUUACAUCUAUGAGACCGGGCAGGGCCUACGAGUCCUCCUGCGUCACUUGUCUAUUAUGUUAUCACACCCUCAGCAACGUUGUACACAAGAUGACAUGGACAUAAAGUCUCUAACAAAGAGAUCUCCUGUAGCUGAUUCAGCAAAUGGUGAAGAUUCUGUUCCUAUAUCUAGCCAAUGAGAUCAUCAUCAACAAUUCAGUUUACAAUUUCAUGUUGUGUCUUUGUUUUUGGCUUUAUUUGUGAGCUACUAAGCUUUCUGCUGAAAAUGUGAACCUUUGGUUUUGUAUGCGCUACUGAGCUUUUGCUGAAGUGAGUCAGAUGCUUCAGCUAAUGAAAAUAUGUAGUUUAAAAUGAACCAUUAGCAAGAAAUUCAUAUUUACUAUCGUAGUUGUUAUUUAACGAACAAUGUGACUUGCAAAAGCCGAAUUGGUUACAGACUUCGGUCUCCCAGUCACACUUUAUUGUAGCCUACCAUCUUCAUCUUUCUCGUGUGAUGAAAACAUUGCUAGCAUACUAUACUGCAA
RNAcentral lists this unclassified non-coding RNA (1655 nucleotides) under Hevea brasiliensis (rubber tree). The record is from RNAcentral. Lineage: Eukaryota; Viridiplantae; Streptophyta; Magnoliopsida; Malpighiales; Euphorbiaceae.